This 468-nucleotide ribosomal RNA is filed under the name uncultured bacterium. RNAcentral describes it as "partial 16S ribosomal RNA". It matches the Rfam family "Bacterial small subunit ribosomal RNA", at positions 28 to 507 of the family's 1533-position model. The record is from RNAcentral.
GACGAACGCUGGCGGCGUGCUUAAUACAUGCAAGUCGAACGGAAAGGCCCUGCUUUUGUGGGGUGCUCGAGUGGCGAACGGGUGAGUAACACGUGAGUAACCUGCCCUUGACUUUGGGAUAACUUCAGGAAACUGGGGCUAAUACCGGAUAGGAGCUCCUGCUGCAUGGUGGGGGUUGGAAAGUUUCGGCGGUUGGGGAUGGAAUCGCGGCUUAUCAGCUUGUUGGUGGGGUAGUGGCUUACCAAGGGUUUGACGGGUAGCCGGCCUGAGAGGGUGACCGGCCACAUGGGGACUGAGAUACGGACCAGAAUCCUACGGGAGGCAGCAGUGGGGAAUAUUGCACAAUAGGCGGAAGCCUGAUGCAGCAACGCCGCGUGCGGAAUGACGGCCUUCGGGUUGUAAACCGCUUUCGCCGGUGACGAAGCGUGAGUGACGGUAAUGGGUAAAGAAGCACCGGCUAACUACGUG